UUGUAAAUACAAAAAGAGAGUCGGACAGAAUUCUUCUCAAAUUCGUUGUCCAACUCCCAACUUGCUUUGCUUGUAGAAUUUCUUUAUGAAAUUUUCUUUAUUAGGGCCAGCUCACAAAGAUGACUAGAACUGAGAAAAGCUUGAUUGAAGCGUUUUAUCUGUUCAGUCAGCUACAGUAAAUUGCAAAAUAGGAUUAUUAUAUUAUUU
This 207-nucleotide non-coding RNA is filed under the name Staphylococcus haemolyticus JCSC1435. RNAcentral's name for it is "Staphylococcus sRNA 35 (srn_0335)". It matches the Rfam family "Staphylococcus sRNA 35 (srn_0335)". Rfam says of the family: Other name: Srn_0335, SAOUHSCs258. Northern blot transcript confirmed in exponentially growing and stationary cells in three cultivation media. Lineage: Bacteria; Bacillati; Bacillota; Bacilli; Caryophanales; Staphylococcaceae. The record is from Rfam by way of RNAcentral.